This is a small nuclear RNA of Vulpes vulpes (red fox), 107 nucleotides long. The record is from Ensembl. NCBI's taxonomy places the organism in Eukaryota, Metazoa, Chordata, Mammalia, Carnivora, Canidae.
GUGCAAGCUUUGGCAACAUACAUACUAAAAUUAGAAAGAUACAGAGAAGAUUAGCAUGACCUCUGCACAAACAUGACCUGAAAAUUUGUGAAGAGCUCCAUAUUUUU